UACGUAGGUGGCAAGCGUUGUCCGGAUUUACUGGGCGUAAAGAGCGCGCAGGCGGUCGUUCAAGUCGCGUGUGAAAGCCCCCGGCUCAACUGGGGAGGGUCACGCAAUACUGAUCGACUCGAAGGCAGGAGAGGGUAGUGGAAUUCCCGGUGUAGUGGUGAAAUGCGUAGAUAUCGGGAGGAACACCAGUGGCGAAGGCGACUACCUGGCCUGUUCUUGACGCUGAGGCGCGAAAGCUAGGGUAGCAAACGGG
RNAcentral lists this ribosomal RNA (253 nucleotides) under uncultured bacterium. Its description in RNAcentral is "partial 16S ribosomal RNA". It matches the Rfam family "Bacterial small subunit ribosomal RNA", at positions 524 to 776 of the family's 1533-position model. The record is from RNAcentral.